AUGCCCCCGCCAUGGCAGCCCUCAACCUACGCCGCCGGCACGAUAGUGGCAGCAUCCCCCUGCCGCUCCUCCUCACCGGCCGGAUUUCACGCAUCCCCUUAUUCCGAUCCCCUUUCUUCCGUUUCAGAUGAAGAGAAGACCAUUGGAGAUACUUCCUCAGCUGCCCCUCCUAUCUCCCUCGAUGAUGAAUUUCCGAAGGCCACCGCCAUGGGACCUUAUGCAAGUGCAGGCUGGUCGGACCUCCCCAUAGAUCUCCUCAUCCGGAUACUGCAUCUCCUUGAGCUCCCCGAGGCCCUCGCCUUCCAUGCUGUCUGCCCAUCAUGGCGUUCUGCAUCUGUGGCUGCAGGUGGUGUCCCACCUCGCCGCACACCGUGGCUUGUGUCCUUGGCGGAGGAGCCUCUUCCGGCAGGGGAUCAACAGCGGCCUGUGCGUCGUGGAUUAUGGGAUCCUACUGCCACUUCUGAGCUCCGCAACCUCGUGGAUGCUGAGAAAACUUUCCAGGUCAGCUUUCCCUGGGGCCAGGCCGUGGCCUGCUGCGGCGCCUCCCAUGGCUGGUUAAUCAUGGCAAACGAGCUCUCGGAUCUCGUCCUCUAUAACCCCUUCACCACGGCGUCACUCUCGCUCCCGCCAAUCACCGGUUUUGCAUCGUGCAUCGAGGGGGUUUACGGAGAUGAAGGGAACGUCGUGGGCUAUCGUUACAGUUGUUACGAGAGUGACAGUGUCUAUGAUGUGCGGUCUCUUGGUGGGUUCUUCUAUGACAAGGUUGUGUUGUCCGGUUCUCCAUCUGCUGGUCCCGCAAUUGCUUUGUCCAUGCACAUGGACGGUAAGCGACUCUCUUUUGCGAGGGUCGGAGAUAGUUCUUGGCGACAAGUUUCAGUGAUAAGGAGAAGCCUGGAUAGCUAUGCCGAUUGCGUCUACCACCGCGGCAGGUUCUACGUGGUGACAAUGGAAGGUAAAUUGAAGUCUUGGGGCCUCAGUGGACCGGAGGACAGACCGCGAAAGAAAACGAUCAUUGCCGAGGGAGAUGAUUACUUUUUUGAACUUAUCACGAGAUACCUAGUUUCAACUCCCUGGGGACAUCUUCUGCAGAUUCGUGUCGUCCUCGACAAGUAUCAGGAGCACUACGUCAGGGUUGAUGUAGACAGAUUGGAUCUCAAGAGCAGCCAAAUGGUGGGAGUAAGCCCUGCGAAGGCUCUAAGGGGACACGCGGCGUUCCUUGGUCAGAAUAGCCGGGGUAUAUUGUCCGUGGAUAAAUUCCCCGAGGUAAGGCCAGAUUGUAUCUACUUCACGACUCCCCGUCUCAGGGGGGACGCUUUCGAGCAUCGCCAUAACCAAUGGAGCGGUGUGAAGGUCUAUGAUUUGAGAAGUCGGAAGCUGGAGGAUGCUUUUCUGUCGGGUGGUGGUCAUUAUGGAACAAUCUGUCCAUCGGAGGUCUGGUUCACGCCGAGCCUGUGA
Molecule: ribosomal RNA, 1455 nt
Filed under: Triticum aestivum (bread wheat)
Lineage: Eukaryota; Viridiplantae; Streptophyta; Magnoliopsida; Poales; Poaceae
Description: partial small subunit ribosomal RNA
Source: RNAcentral